RNAcentral lists this ribosomal RNA (253 nucleotides) under uncultured bacterium. RNAcentral describes it as "partial 16S ribosomal RNA". It matches the Rfam family "Bacterial small subunit ribosomal RNA", at positions 524 to 776 of the family's 1533-position model. The record is from RNAcentral.
UACGUAGGGUGCAAGCGUUGUCCGGAAUUAUUGGGCGUAAGGGGCUCGUAGGCGGUCCAUCGCGUCGGGAGUGAAAAGCUGGGGCUUAACCCCAGUCCUGCUUCCGAUACGGGUGGACUAGAGGUAGGUAGGGGAGAACGGAAUUCCUGGUGUAGCGGUGAAAUGCGCAGAUAUCAGGAGGAACACCGGUGGCGAAGGCGGUUCUCUGGGCCUUACCUGACGCUGAGGAGCGAAAGCAUGGGGAGCAAACAGG